RNAcentral lists this ribosomal RNA (253 nucleotides) under uncultured bacterium. RNAcentral's name for it is "partial 16S ribosomal RNA". It matches the Rfam family "Bacterial small subunit ribosomal RNA", at positions 524 to 776 of the family's 1533-position model. The record is from RNAcentral.
UACAGAGGGGGCAAGCGUUGUUCGGAAUUACUGGGCGUAAAGGGCGCGUAGGUGGCCUUCUAAGUUGAACGUGAAAUCCCUGGGCUCAACCCAGGAACUGCGUCCAAGACUGGGAGGCUUGAAUCCGGGAGAGGGAUGCGGAAUUCCACGUGUAGCGGUGAAAUGCGUAGAGAUGUGGAGGAACACCAGUGGCGAAGGCGGCUCUCUGGUCAGUAACUGACGCUGAGAAGCGAAAGCGUGGGUAGCGAACAGG